This 408-nucleotide long non-coding RNA is filed under the name Cyanistes caeruleus (blue tit). RNAcentral's name for it is "lncRNA (ENSCCEG00000000172.1)". The record is from RNAcentral. Lineage: Eukaryota; Metazoa; Chordata; Aves; Passeriformes; Paridae.
AUCACUGAAUCACUGAAUCACAGAAUCCCAGAUCAUGGAAUCACUGAAUCACAGUCAUGGAAUCAUGGAAUAACUGAAUCACAGAGUCACAGAGUCACAGAAUGAACCAGGUUGGAAAAGACCUUUAAGAUCAUCCAGUCCAACCUAUGAUUAUUGCACCAGCCUUUCUUUACCUGGAGAGGAGGAAAGCCCCAGAGACGAGGACACAGCAGGAUUCUGUUUCCAGGCAGUUCUCCUGAGCAGGUCUUUAGGCGUUUAGGAUCACCAAGGUCCUGUUCCUGUGGUCCCAAGUUGCUGUUAGAAUACAAAUAUUUUCUAAACACAAGUGCAGCACAAGUGAUCUGACAGAAAUGUGUGCCCUGAGUGCCCAGCCUGGCCUGGAGUGAGCACCCAGCCAGAUUCUGUGUC